ACCAGGAAACCGCGAGGGCUCAAGGCUGCGGCGUGGGACACUGGCUCUGGAAGCGGUCCCUGCUGCAGCGUGGCUUUCGCUCCCCCGUCACUCAGGUCAACUCCUUAGUUCUGUGUUUGAUGGUCAGGGUUUGUAGAUUGUCCUUUAUGUAAUCAGUUCACUUGUUUUUUCGAGUCUUUGUUUCAAGAAGUAUAAGCGGAAUCUUCUACCUAGUCAGCCAUCUUGGUCCUGCCCCCGUGUCUGCCUCUUUAUGUGAUUUGGUAUUGACUGUUGUCUCUGAGCAAUCUAUAAGUUAUUGUAUUAGUUUAUUUUAUGCUUGCUUUUUGUAUCCUAGCUUCUUGCUUUGUUUAGUUUUGGUAUUCCCAAAUAAGCUGCUUGAGUGCGCUAGGUUGAUUAUUUUCACCUUUGAAGCUCUAAUGUACUAUCACCAGAUGGCUAGCACUGUUACCAGGUAUAUGAGCCUAGGAGUUCAUUUACUUUUCUUGUAUGCAUUCAACUCAGGUGCCCAGGUAGUUGGUCAUAAAGUGUGUGGUACAGGCUCUGUCCUACCGUCUUAGAGGGGCAGGGGUUAUUGGUGUAGGCAGAAGUAUCUGGCUGCAGUAGGGGGUCAGGCUCUGAUCAAGGCAGGGGUCUGACAGCUGUCCUCUGAGUGUCUGUGAGGAAAGUGCAUCCCUGUUCUGUAGAGCACACGGGUGGGUUCUGCAGAAGGGCGAUGGGUACCCAAUGCUUUUGGUUGUAAGUUCUGGGAGGUACUACUUACCCUUGGAGCCCUGUCACAGGAGGCUAGGUAUUGUGGGUGGAGCCACCAGUCCUUAGGCCCCUGAUGUGGGUAGGUGAAGACGCCGUUUAAUAGGCAAAGCAGUGUCAAACAUCAAACACCCAUCUUUCCACCGUUCAGCUGAAACAGUUGCAGUCUGGCGACAAGGGCCUAUUCUCCUGAAAUGGGCCCACACAGGUCCAUGCUGGGGUGAAAGGUAUUCAAAGCCCAUGGACUGUUUGUGCCUGAACAAGAGCUGCUUCUGUCCUGAGCUCCCCAGCUUAAUUGAGCUGGCAGAUUAUCUUUCCCCCAGUUGUGAACUUAUACCUUCUUCAAGGAUGGAAAAAUGGCUCAGAGUGGUACCAGGGCCUAUCUCAGGCCCAGGGAAGUUGACAGCCACUGAAGCCGGCUUGGGGGCUGGGGGCGUGGUAAAAUAAACACAAGUAAUUAGCUUUUGCUGAGAGUGCCGUUCUUCUCUUGUUCUGGAGGUGUGAGUAGUCUGUGCAACUUGCUGUCCUUCCCUGAGCUAAACGCCUCUGGAACACUACUGCCAGCCCCGCUGCAGUCGCUCCAGGGAACGGUGCCUGAGGGUUCCUGGCUGUUCAGGUCCAGUAACUCCUCUCCACUUCUGAAUAGUCUCUCCCUCCCCCUGCCGCUGAGUCCAUUUUCUAACUUUACCUUUGAUGUUCAGGGCUCCUAGCUUGUCAUAAAUAUAAUCGCUUCACUUGUUUUUUCUGGUCUUUUUUGUAAGAGGGAUCACUGGUGGCGUCUCAAUACUCAAAACUUCAUCAUUUCUUCCUUUCACUUUAGCUACUCGACAUUCAAGAGCAACGUUCAGAGUCUCUUCCGACAUCCGUUUUGGUCUUUUCUUUCUUUCCUGUCUUUUAAAGGAUCUCUUGCUUUCCUCAUGUGUGAUGUCCUUGAUGUCAUUCCACAACUCGUCUGGUCUUCAGUCGUUAGUGUUCAACACGUAAAAUGUGUUCUUGAGGUGGUCUCUAAAUACAGGUGAGAUAUACUCAAGGUCAUAUUUUGGCCCCUUUUGACUUAUUCUAAUUUUCUUCCGUUUCAACUUGAACUCCCAUAUGAGCAAUUGACAGUCUGUUUCACAAUCGAUCCCUGGCCUUGUUCUGACUGAUGAUAUGAGUUUUCCCAUCUUCUCUUUCCACAGAUGUAGUCAGUUUGAUUCCUGUGUAUUCCAUCUGGUAAAGUCCACGUGUAUAGCUGCCGUUUAUGUUGGUGAAAAAAAAUAUUUGCAGUGGAUGAGUCACUGGUCUUGCAAAAUUCUUUCAUGAGAUUUCUGGCGUCAUUUAUUUCAGUGAUGCUGUAUUUUCCAACUACUUUUCCUUCUUUGUUUCCAACUUUAACAUUCUAAUGACCAGUAAUUAUCAAUGCAUCUUGAUUGCAUCUUUGAUCAAUUUCAGGCUGCAGAAGUUGUUUAAAAUCUUCAAUUUCUUUAUCUUUGGCAUUAGUGGUUGGUGCAUAAAUUUGAAUAGUCAUAUAAACUAGUCUUCCUUGUAAGUGUAUGGAUUUUAGCCUAUCAGUGACAACAUUGUACUUCAGGCUAGAUCUUGAAAUGUUCUCUUUGAUGAUAUGUAACGUCAUUCUUUUGACUCUGGUGGAAUAUCCAUGUUUGUAAGACUGCUCACAGACUGUUUUACCAGAGAGUUUUCUGGUACUGCAACAUCUACCACUAAUCUCUGUGAUCCCUUUGAAUUGGCAAAAUAAGAAUAGUGCUAUAGAUUUCUUCCAAAUACAGAAAACAUAAGUAUGAAAAUGUUCUUGCUGUUGAUUAUAUUCUUUACCAAUCUGUUUGUAUGGGAUUUUUGGUACUUCACUUGAAAAAUGAGUCCAAGGUACUGUGAUGUGAUUGUUUACUUUGUGUGGCCUUUCUAGCCAUGGUCUUAUAACAUCCACCCUGGUGCUUGGGCAGGACUGUGUGAUAGGGUAAUUGUGGCUCACCAAGAGGAUUGUUUAUUUUGCCUUCAAAGAGAACCAGUUCCAGAGCAAAGAGGAGGAUUCAACUCCCAUCAAGGAAGAACAGCCAAGAGCCGAGCGUAUAUUAUGGACCUGAGAUCCCUGCACUGAGAAGCUCCUAGAAGCAGGAGACUGAGAUAGAGAGAGGAAGCUGUAACCCUGAAGAUGCUUAAAUACAGACCAGAAGAGGAGUUUGGGGCUUGACACCUGACAUCUUAACACCAGUUCCUGUUUCUUGAGGAAGGAAGAGGUAAAAUAAAUCAGCGUUUGCUGUUUCCUUCUCCAUCCCCGGAAGUCCUGAUGAAGACCCUCUCAGGUAAGGAUUGACAGGGAGUGGCUUGGUUUACUAUUCAACUUUGUCCUUCAGUAACUUUGUUUAUGUCCUGCAUGUAAACUGUUGUGCAUUGAGAAGCAUUCUAAUUCUUGUGCAGAAGGACUAGACCUCCUGCAGAAUGACUAUAUUGUGCCUCCCUCGGGCACCCCUGUCUGCGCAGCACCCCCCAACGCCAACUGCCCAACCGCCUCUCUCCUGGCAUUCUGCUUCUAGAAGCAUGUUCUUUUGAUGCAGAGAUGCAGCACACACAGAAUCCCAGCUGGAUUACAGACUUGAACCUGAAGACCUUAUGCAGAAUGACAAUUUAUGAACCACUAAGCUCAGUACUAAAGCAGCUUCAACUUGAACGUGAAUAUGAGCAACUGAUCAUCUGUUCUGCAGUCAGCCCCUGCCCUGAUUCUGACUCAUGAUAUUGACCAAGUGAAGAGUGAUUCAGAGAAAAACAUGGAUAGAGUGUGACCUAAUUUCCAUAAAAACAAACAAAUGAAUGUACUUACAUGUGUCCCGGCAAAAAGAAGUGUGUAAAAGGGUACAUAUGUAUCUUUGGACACUGGACACUUCAGGGGAGCAGGUAUAAUAUACUUAUGUGGGGAUGGCUCUUAUUAUAACUUCUAUAUACAAAUCUCUAUUGUUAAAUGUGUUAUAAGAAUGUAAAAGCUUUUAAAGUUUAAUAACAUCAUACGUGUAUGUGUGUGUAUUUGAAACUUUUUUUCUUUUGACUAUUUUAUAUAUGUGUUUUUUAGUUAUCUAGUUUUUUUUUAGUGUGGCUAUAGCAGAGAUACCAAAAGUGGAUGGCUUUAACAAACAGAAACUUAUUCUCUCACAGUUUAAGAAGCAACAAGUUUGAAGUCAGGGCACCAGGUCUAGGAGAAAGCUCUCUCUCUUUGUGGCUCUGGGGGAAGGUCCUUGUCAUCUAUCUUCCCCUGGCCUAGGAAAUUCUCAGCGCGUGGACACUGGGUCAAAAAGACGUGCUCCACUCCAGGCACUUCUUCCUUGGUGGUAUGAGGUCCCUCUCAUUUCCGCUCACUCUUCUCUUUGUAUCUCAAAAGAGACUGACUCAAGACUCACCCUAAUCCUGUAGAUUGUGUCCUCCCUCAUUAACCUAACUGCCUCUAAUCCCGCCUUAUUUACAUCACAGAGGUUAGAAUUUACAACACAUAAGUAAUCACAUCAGAUCACAAAAUGCAGGACAACCACACAAUACUGGGAAUCAUGGUCUGGCCAGGUUGGCACACGUUUUGGGGGACACUAUUCAAUCCAUAACAACAGAGAAAACACUGUCUUCAAUGCCAGAUUCAGAGACUUUUAUCAAUCUAUGAAGGGCAAACACAGAAAUUGAACAAAAUUCAGACCAGCGAAUUAUUGCUUGCUCUUGUAACUAAUGACUUCUUCUGGUCUCUGUACCUGGAAAUGGCCAAAAAGAAUUCUGUGAGGAUUAAUUCAGUUAUUGCUAAAACAUCUACUGCAUUUACAUGUCUACAGAUAAGGAAUAAUGCUGGACACCAUGUGUGAUUCAUUAAGUAACACAGGGACUAUUAGACUGUUGUUCUCCUUCUCUGAUAUGCCACUAUCACCUUCUCCCCUUGUUGCUCUCCUGAAAAACCCACACUUGUAUAUUCUAGGCUUUUUUCCAGGAUUGAAUUUGCAGGAAGUUGAAGAUACAUCUUUGAAAGAUAAAGAAGACUUUGGCCACAUUGUCUUUAGACAGUCGAACUUCCCAGCCAGCCUCUGUGCAGGAUGGGAAUUCACAAUCCCUCCUACUCAGUACCUCUGAGCAGGACGGGAUUUCUGUUUCAUUAUCAGGAGACUGUGGAA
Long non-coding RNA from Loxodonta africana (African savanna elephant), 4880 nucleotides. RefSeq lists it as uncharacterized. Lineage: Eukaryota; Metazoa; Chordata; Mammalia; Proboscidea; Elephantidae. The record is from RefSeq and is a predicted model, not a curated record. The transcript is spliced from 3 exons.